CAUGUGAAAUUUAUUUGAUUAAUGUAUAAAUAUUGUAUCAUAGUUAACUAAAAAGUGUUCAUAAAUUGUCGAAUAUGAUAAAUUUUCUAACUUGAUUAUUCAUACAUAUAUGUGAAUUUAUAACAGUUAUAAAAUUCGCUAUAAGAAUUUGUUGCAUCCAGAAAUUAUUAAAAGAUAAAGAAGUAAGUUUAAAUAAAUAUCAAAUAUUUUCGUCACUCAUAGUACAUGGAUAUCUAAAGAUAUAUAAUUGAACUGAACGCGAUGGAAAAAGAGUAACGGCCAUUAUCAGCAAAUUAAUGGUAAUGUGUGCAUGAGAGAGAGACAUAAAUGUAUACAUAGCGUAUAUUGGCAAGCGUAUAUAUCGAUAUAAAAACUAUGCAUACAGAGUAUUUCAUUUUCAGAUGUAGUCUGAAAAAAAGGAUCGAAUAAUUUAAUAUCAUAUAGCAGUUAUCAAAAUAAAGAUUACUCUGUACACACGUAAAUACACGUACAACGAAAUAAUAUAUGGCGGUUAUAUCGUUAACGUUCAUUCUUGCUAUUACUGCAUAUAAUACUAUAAUAUCCACAAUGAUGAAGAGAGUGAAAGAGAUUGACUAGGCACGAGCUAUGAUGCGAUCUAAAUGUGCUCUGAGCGUUUUCUGUGCGUAUAAUUGCGUGUGGAGGGAUUGAAUAGGAUAUGGAUGGAUAAUAAUUACAUAAAGAAGUAGAAGCAUGGAAAAACGAGUGGAUGAAUCAACAGCAUGAAAAUUCAAUUGGGUAAAACUAAGGAAAAUUAGCGGGCAGAAAGAGAAGUGGUGAAUGUAGCUGCGAUAAAGGAAGAUAGAAGAGAUUUGAGAGAAAGACAUAAGAAAAUAUACAUACAUAUAUACAUAUAUAUAUAUAUACUAUAUAUAUACAUAUAUAUAGAGCUGCAGCAAAAGCCUGAGCCACCUGCAGAGUUUUUCCGCUACUUCCAGGUAACCAGUUUCACUGUACCUUUGUUGCGAGGGUGGAGCUGGGGUUUCAGAUCCCGAUUGCAAAAAUCCUCUUUGCAGCACUCGAUGACAAAGGUCGUGUUUCGCGAGUCGCUCGUCAUGCAGAAGAUGAGCGGCUCGGGCUGCGACGACGACAGCUGUUUAUUCACGCACCUUCAAGCCGAGUUUGCACCAUUUUCAGAAUACAAAAAAACAAAAGGAGAGAGAGAGAGAAAGAGAGAGAAAGAGAGAAAAAGAAAGAGAGAGAGAAAAAGAGACAAACCAACGUGUAACCUCGUUGGAGGGGGGGAUGGAUAGUUCGUGCUUUUUGGAUCGCGUUUUCGGGACACUCGAGGUUACUCCGUGAGAGAAUAUCAAUGGCGGCGUUGGAAUACACGCGUAUAUUGGAUGGUUCAAAAUUGCACGAGUUAACGUGCUUCGUGGCCUUCUUUUCUUAAAUUAAACACAGGCUGAAAAAUUAAAGGGUAACAAAAAGAGAGAAACAAGGAUUCAAGAAAUAUUCGUAAUAAUUCUUUUACUCGAUUUGAUAAACGAAGAUUUAAAGAUUGCAUAACAAUGAAGUCAUGGAACAUUCAACAACGAUGAAAUCAUUAUCUAUAAAUAUCUAUCCCCGUUUGGGAACAUAACGAAAGAAGCAACAUCCAUUCAAGAGGAGAGAAAACGCGUCGAAAAAAUUAUUUAUAAACAUCGACAAUUAAAAAUAUUACGUUACGCAAUUCGUUCAAAUGUACAAAAAAUAAUUCGUAUGCAAAAAACAA
Apis laboriosa (Himalayan honeybee) is the source of this 1732-nucleotide long non-coding RNA. RefSeq lists it as uncharacterized. The transcript has 4 exons. NCBI's taxonomy places the organism in Eukaryota, Metazoa, Arthropoda, Insecta, Hymenoptera, Apidae. The record is from RefSeq and is a predicted model, not a curated record.